This 468-nucleotide ribosomal RNA is filed under the name uncultured bacterium. RNAcentral's name for it is "partial 16S ribosomal RNA". It matches the Rfam family "Bacterial small subunit ribosomal RNA", at positions 28 to 507 of the family's 1533-position model. The record is from RNAcentral.
GACGAACGCUGGCGGCGUGCUUAACACAUGCAAGUCGAACGGAAAGGCCCUGCUUUUGUGGGGUGCUCGAGUGGCGAACGGGUGAGUAACACGUGAGUAACCUGCCCUUGACUUUGGGAUAACUUCAGGAAACUGGGGCUAAUACCGGAUAGGAGCUCCUGCUGCAUGGUGGGGGUUGGAAAGUUUCGGCGGUUGGGGAUGGACUCGCGGCUUAUCAGCUUGUUGGUGGGGUAGUGGCUUACCAAGGAUUUGACGGGUAGCCGGCCUGAGAGGGUGACCGGCCACAUGGGGACUGAGAUACGGACCAGACUCCUACGGGAGGCAGCAGUGGGGAAUAUUGCACAGUGGGCGGAAGCCUGAUGCAGCAGCGCCGCGUGCGGGAUGACGGCCUUCGGGUUGUAAACCGCUUUCGCCUGUGACGAAGCGUGAGUGACGGUAAUGGGUAAAGAAGCACCGGCUAACUACGUG